CAGUCGCCACGGGAAUACGAAGGGGGCUAGCGUUGUUCGGAAUUACUGGGCGUAAAGCGCACGUAGGCGGAUAUUUAAGUCAGGGGUGAAAUCCCAGAGCUCAACUCUGGAACUGCCUUUGAUACUGGGUAUCUUGAGUAUGGAAGAGGUGAGUGGAAUUCCGAGUGUAGAGGUGAAAUUCGUAGAUAUUCGGAGGAACACCAGUGGCGAAGGCGGCUCACUGGUCCAUUACUGACGCUGAGGUGCGAAAGCGUGGGGAGCAAACAGGAUUAGAUACCCCCGUAGUCCCUGUCUCUUAUAC
This 301-nucleotide ribosomal RNA is filed under the name uncultured bacterium. RNAcentral describes it as "partial 16S ribosomal RNA". It matches the Rfam family "Bacterial small subunit ribosomal RNA", at positions 509 to 807 of the family's 1533-position model. The record is from RNAcentral.